GGGACUUUCACUCCAGCCUCCUUCACGCUGAGGUAGCUGCUGUCCAUGCCCGAGGGGUCGGCGUUGGGCUGCAAGUCAGCCUCUCCCAAGCUGCUCUCCUUACCGUAACAGGAGACCUGCAGGGCUCCGUUGUGGCCGCCGCUCUCCUGCAGCUUGAGGUUGCUCUCCGGGGGGGUCUUGCAGGGGCCGCGCUGCAUGUAGAGGUGCGGCGGCUGCUGCUGGGGCUGCGGGUAUUUGCUAAAGGCGGGCGGGGGCGCGGCGGGGCCCGGCGCCUGCCCGCUGCCGUCCAGGGACGGGCAUUCCUGCGGGCUGUAGCGGCUCCGGCACUUCGCGCCGCUGUCACCGAAGCUCUGUCCUUUGGCGGCCAGGAAAGCGGGGCCGAA
RNAcentral lists this long non-coding RNA (383 nucleotides) under Gallus gallus (chicken). The record is from RNAcentral. Lineage: Eukaryota; Metazoa; Chordata; Aves; Galliformes; Phasianidae.